RNAcentral lists this microRNA precursor (143 nucleotides) under Gossypium hirsutum (cotton). RNAcentral describes it as "MIR7502 microRNA precursor family". It matches the Rfam family "MIR7502 microRNA precursor family". The record is from Rfam by way of RNAcentral. Lineage: Eukaryota; Viridiplantae; Streptophyta; Magnoliopsida; Malvales; Malvaceae.
UAUUAAAAAAAUAACAUUUUUACAGUUAAAAAAUAGUGUGGCUGACAAAAUAAUCGGGUAAUUACACAUGACGUUCCAGGUUUACCUCAUUUUGAUGUAUAAGAACCAAUUUUUAAAAUUAAAAAUAAAUGUAAUUUUUAACA